GAUGAACGCUGGCGGUCUGCUUAACACAUGCAAGUCGAACGAACUCUUCGGAGUGAGUGGCGGACGGGUGAGUAACGCGUGAGAAUCUGCCUGUGGGUCGGGGACAACUACUGGAAACGGUGGCUAAUACCGGAUGAGCCGAAAGGUAAAGAUUUAUUGCCCACAGAUGAGCUCGCGUCUGAUUAGCUAGUUGGUAAGGUAAAAGCGUACCAAGGCGACGAUCAGUAGCUGGUCUGAGAGGAUGAGCAGCCACACUGGGACUGAGACACGGCCCAGACUCCUACGGGAGGCAGCAGUGGGAAUUUUCCGCAAUGGGCGAAAGCCUGACGGAGCAAGACCGCGUGGGGGAGAAGGUUUUUGGAUCGUAAAGUUCUUUCUUAGGGAAGAAAGAUGACGGUACCUAAGGAUAAGCACCGGCU
RNAcentral lists this ribosomal RNA (419 nucleotides) under uncultured bacterium. RNAcentral's name for it is "bacterial SSU rRNA". It matches the Rfam family "Bacterial small subunit ribosomal RNA", at positions 28 to 498 of the family's 1533-position model. The record is from RNAcentral.